UACAGAGGGGGCAAGCGUUAUUCGGAAUUACUGGGCGUAAAGCGCACGUAGGCGGCUUUGUAAGUAAGAGGUGAAAGCCCGGAGCUCAACUCCGGAACUGCCUUUUAGACUGCAUCGCUUGAAUCCAGGAGAGGUGAGUGGAAUUCCGAGUGUAGAGGUGAAAUUCGUAGAUAUUCGGAAGAACACCAGUGGCGAAGGCGGCUCACUGGACUGGUAUUGACGCUGAGACGCGAAAGCGUGGGGAGCGAACGGG
Molecule: ribosomal RNA, 253 nt
Filed under: uncultured bacterium
Lineage: Bacteria
Description: partial 16S ribosomal RNA
Rfam family: Bacterial small subunit ribosomal RNA
Source: RNAcentral